Molecule: non-coding RNA, 45 nt
Filed under: Schistosoma curassoni
Lineage: Eukaryota; Metazoa; Platyhelminthes; Trematoda; Strigeidida; Schistosomatidae
Source: RNAcentral
AUCCAACUGACGAGUCCCAGAUAGGACAAAAUGCGUGUAUUGGAU